Non-coding RNA from Equus caballus (horse), 719 nucleotides. The record is from RefSeq and is a predicted model, not a curated record. NCBI's taxonomy places the organism in Eukaryota, Metazoa, Chordata, Mammalia, Perissodactyla, Equidae.
UCCCUGCGGGGACAAAGCAGGGCUCGGUCAGAGCCAGACAGUCGGAGGGCGGAGAAGAGCACUGGAGCCUCCCACCCUGUCCCCGCACCCUCGCCUGGAGCAGUGCCAGUCUCUAUUCAUAGCGCGCCGGCCCUUCCUCCUAGCCCUGGCCACAGAUAAAGAAACUGAGUCUCAGAGAGCCCCUUUUGUUUCAGUGCCAUCCUUUUCGGUGUGUGGAACAAGGAUCACAGGGAGCUGGCUUGUUCUUCUUGCUGUCUAUGAUGGCUUAUGCAACGGUGGGCCUUUGUGGGUAGGGGACAGGAAGGAAAUUGAGAGAGCUGGAGGCACAGGGUCCCGGAAACCUUUCCUCAGGCAUUAGUGAGCCUGUACGAGCCAACAACCAGCAAGCACAUAUUCAGAUAAGGGACCUGAGGCACAGAAGGGUUAAGCAACCUGUUCAAGGCCGCCGAGCUAAUAAAUCUGUUUACUACUCCAAAAUGUACCCUCAGAACCCAGUAUACUGCCUGGAAUAUAGUUGGCGUUCAAUAAACAACUGUAGAACAAAUUAAACGAGUACAUAUUUAACACUUUAAAAACAUAAAAGGGAAAUACCUUAACAUUAAAAACAUACACACAAGAGUAAAAUUAACAUCUUUUUAAAACUCGCUCACAAUCCUAGGAAGAUAACUACCUUCACUUGUCAAAUGUCAGCAAGACUUCAGCCCCUGAGCGCUUUUACA